GUUGGGAUAGCUCAGUUGGUAGAGCAGAGGACUGAAAAUCCUCG
This 44-nucleotide transfer RNA is filed under the name Artemisia arctica. RNAcentral describes it as "partial tRNA-Phe". It matches the Rfam family "tRNA", at positions 1 to 43 of the family's 71-position model. From Rfam's summary of the family: Transfer RNA (tRNA) molecules are approximately 80 nucleotides in length. Their secondary structure includes four short double-helical elements and three loops (D, anti-codon, and T loops). The record is from RNAcentral. RNAcentral also lists the same sequence under 1 other name. Lineage: Eukaryota; Viridiplantae; Streptophyta; Magnoliopsida; Asterales; Asteraceae.